RNAcentral lists this ribosomal RNA (1306 nucleotides) under uncultured bacterium. RNAcentral's name for it is "bacterial SSU rRNA". It matches the Rfam family "Bacterial small subunit ribosomal RNA", at positions 28 to 1381 of the family's 1533-position model. The record is from RNAcentral.
AACGUACGCUGGCGGCACGCCUAACACAUGCAAGUCGAACGAAGUAGCAAUACUUAGUGGCAGACGGGUGAGUAACAUGUAGGUAUCUGCCCUUUGGCCUGGAAUAACACGAGGAAACUUGUGCUAAUACCGGAUAAGUCUUUACGGAGAAAGCUUUAUGCACCAUUGGAUGAGCCUGCACUUGAUUAGUUUGUUGGUGGGGUAAUGGCCUACCAAGACUGUGAUCAAUAGCUGAUUUGAGAGGAUGAUCAGCCACAUUGGGACUGAGACACGGCCCAAACUCCUACGGGAGGCAGCAGUGGGGAAUCUUGCACAAUGGAGGAAACUCUGAUGCAGCGAUGCCGCGUGAGUGAAGAAGGCCCUUGGGUUGUAAAGCUCUUUCGUCGGGGAAGAAAAUGACUGUACCCGAAUAAGAAGGUCCGGCUAACUUCGUGCCAGCAGCCGCGGUAAUACGAAGGGACCUAGCGUAGUUCGGAAUUACUGGGCUUAAAGAGUUCGUAGGUGGUUGAAAAAGUUAGUGGUGAAAUCCCAGAGCUUAACUCUGGAACUGCCAUUAAAACUUUUCAGCUAGAGUAUGAUAGAGGAAAGCAGAAUUUCUAGUGUAGAGGUGAAAUUCGUAGAUAUUAGAAAGAAUACCAAUUGCGAAGGCAGCUUUCUGGAUCAUUACUGACACUGAGGAACGAAAGCAUGGGUAGCGAAGAGGAUUAGAUACCCUCGUAGUCCAUGCCGUAAACGAUGUGUGUUAGACGUUGGAAAUUUAUUUUCAGUGUCGCAGGGAAACCGAUAAACACACCGCCUGGGGAGUACGACCGCAAGGUUAAAACUCAAAUGAAUUGACGGGGACCCGCACAAGUAGUGGAGCAUGUGGUUUAAUUCGAAGAUACGCGCAGAACCUUACCAACACUUGACAUGUUCGUCGCGACUCUAAGAGAUUAGAGUUUUCGGUUCGGCCGGACGAAACACAGGUGCUGCAUGGCUGUCGUCAGCUCGUGUCGUGAGAUGUUGGGUUAAGUCCCGCAACGAGCGCAACCCUCACUUUUAGUUGCCAUCAUUAAGUUGGGCACUCUGAAAGAACUGCCAGUGAUAAGCUGGAGGAAGGUGGGGAUGACGUCAAGUCCUCAUGGCCCUUACGUGUUGGGCUACACACGUGCUACAAUGGUAUCUACAACAGGAAGCAAGACUGCGAAGUUAAGCAAAUCCCUAAAAGAUACCUCAGUUCGGAUUGCACUCUGCAACUCGAGUGCAUGAAGCUGAAAUUACUAGUAAUCGUGGAUCAGCGUGCCACGGUGAAUGCGUUCCCGGGUCU